UCCUUUCACCAAAAAGAGCCAUUCAAAAAGAGCCGUUCGUUCGCGAACGACCCAUCACUAGUUCCAACGAGUCCCCUGUCGGUCAAUUGCCCUCUAUAUAUCACCAACACAACAUUGCUUGCUCAAUACAAAGAGAACGCGGAUUCAUAAAGGCGCACGGUGAUUUGUAUUUAUUUCUACUACCAUUGGAGCGGUCCAAGGUGCUGAAACAUGAAUCAAAGUGCGGGAGUAGCCCAAAAUGUUCGUCGUUACUCUUCUGAUGAUAAGAUGCCUGCCUUAUAACGGUCCAAACCAUCUCAAGUUUACAUCUAUUAAAGGAACGUUGAAGAUUCAUCAGGUUAUCAGUGUCUCACCAGGCCAGAUAAAAUACAGGGACAUUACUUGUCUGUGGAAGAAGGAUAGUGGUUGGACUGUCCUUGUUUUCAGCUCAAAGAGGCAUCUCUGGGUGACCCUGCAGCAUCUAACCAGCUCCCUGCAUCUCAUGACAAGGCUGACACCACAUGGCGACCUGGCACCAUUGAACUUAAUCACGUAGGGGAGUGGUGUGUUGUCAAUUAUGACCAUGAAGGAUACCCUGGCAUCAUCAUGGAUGUAGAGGAACAUAACAUUAAGGUGAAUUGCAUGCACCGGAAUGGCAUCAACAAAUUAUUCUGGCCAAGCCCAAAGGAAGAUAUUUGUUGGUACUCUGAUGGACAGAUAAUUUGUCUUAUGCCAGAGAUCGAAAAAGGGGAAGGGAGAGAGAGCGAGAGAGACGAACAGGAAUGUGUUUUAAUGCUAAUUCCAAUGAUUUUAUACCGGCAAUGCCUUUUUGUGUUGUUUUUCACAAUGAAUAUGUAACUAAAUAGCAGUUCCAAUGUUGUUACUACAUGUAUUACUAUGUAGAUGUCUAUUCAGUGUUCAGGGUUUAAUUUAAGUUCUGUUCCGUUAUAGCUGUCCACCCUGUUAUCUUGGCAUCUUUUUCAAAUUAAUUCAGUUACAGAGUAAGACAUGACCAACACCACACAAUCAUAAACUUGGAUAACAUAUAAUUAAUACCUGUCUCUAUUUAGAAAGAUAAGGUGCAAAUUAGAUUAAGUUCUGUAUAAAACCACAGAUUGUAUUCAAAAUCUGUUACAUCUUUAGAAUUUGACCAGCGCAAAUGGACAGGGUUGACAAGGGGACACACAUAGCUUCAUGAAAAUGUAUAUAUGAUUAAAAUAGUCUAAUGAAAGUAAUUAAAGACCGAUAAGUGCAUGUCCGUAACAGGGUGGACAUAUUGUAUGGCUGAUUCACUGUCAAUGUGUUCAUUAUUUUCUAACUCUUAGUGCUGGAGCUUGGCCAAAAUGUUUUUCUACACGUCUAAUAUUUCCUUUUUAUAGUAAAACUUAAAAGGAACACAAAUUCUGAAAUAAACAUUUAAAAUGUUGCAUGGUCCAAAUUGUACUGUUUUGUGAUAUUGACCCAUCAGAUGACCAGGCCUCCACAAUCACCCAACCUCAGCCCAAUUGAGAUGGUUUGGAC
Oncorhynchus kisutch (coho salmon) is the source of this 1500-nucleotide long non-coding RNA. Lineage: Eukaryota; Metazoa; Chordata; Actinopteri; Salmoniformes; Salmonidae. The record is from Ensembl.